GAUGAACGCUGGCGGCGUGCUUAACACAUGCAAGUCGAACGAAAAUACUAUGUAGGCGAGAGAGAGCUUGCUUUUAAUCAACUUUUUAGUAUUUUAGUGGCGGACGGGUGAGUAACGCGUGGAUAACCUACCUUAUACUGGGGGAUAACAUUUAGAAAUAGAUGCUAAUACCGCAUAAGCGCACAGCUUCGCAUGAAGCAGUGUGAAAAACUCCGGUGGUAUAAGAUGGAUCCGCGUUUGAUUAGUUAGUUGGUGAGGUAAUGGCUCACCAAGACCGCGAUCAAUAGCCGGCCUGAGAGGGUGUACGGCCACAUUGGGACUGAGACACGGCCCAAACUCCUACGGGAGGCAGCAGUGGGGAAUAUUGCACAAUGGGGGAAACCCUGAUGCAGCGACGCCGCGUGAGUGAAGAAGUA
This 416-nucleotide ribosomal RNA is filed under the name uncultured bacterium. RNAcentral's name for it is "bacterial SSU rRNA". It matches the Rfam family "Bacterial small subunit ribosomal RNA", at positions 28 to 415 of the family's 1533-position model. The record is from RNAcentral.